RNAcentral lists this ribosomal RNA (494 nucleotides) under uncultured bacterium. Its description in RNAcentral is "bacterial SSU rRNA". It matches the Rfam family "Bacterial small subunit ribosomal RNA", at positions 18 to 484 of the family's 1533-position model. The record is from RNAcentral.
CCUGGCUCAGAAUACAACGACUAGGCGGCGUGCCUAACACAUGCAAGUCGAACGCGAAAGUGGAGCAAUCCAUGAGUAGAGUGGCAAACGGGUGAGUAACACGUGGGUGACCUGCCUUCGAGUGGGGGAUAACGUCCCGAAAGGGACGCUAAUACCGCAUAAUAUGCUGUCUUUUAAGAGAGAGACAUCAAAGCCGGGGACCGCAAGGCCUGGCGCUUGAAGAGGGGGACCCGCGCCUGAUUAGCUAGUUGGUGGGGUAAUGGCUCACCAAGGCAACGAUCAGUAUCCGGCCUGAGAGGGCGGACGGACACACUGGGACUGAGACACGGCCCAGACUCCUACGGGAGGCAGCAGUGGGGGAAUUGUUCGCAAUGGGCGCAAGCCUGACGACGCAACGCCGCGUGGAGGAUGAAGAUCUUCGGGUCGUAAACUCCUUUCGAUCGAGACGAAUGGCCCUUGGGGAUAAUACCCUGAGGGAGUGACGGUACCGAGAG